UUGAUUAAUUGAGUAAACUGAAUAUUCAUGUUAUGAAACAUAUAUUGGAAAAAAAUAUUUUAAUUCGUCUCCAUUUACUCGCCUUUAGAUAGUUUAGAUGGUGUCUGUUUACUCACUAGGAUUUUAUAAUCUCACCACCCUCAAUUCCUCACAUUUCAGGCUUGGGAUAGCCGGUAGAUAGCCGAUUGCAUCAAGGACUUCAGUUAGCCUUGCAUCGACAAAAUUGUAGGUUCACAAACUUGCAUCUUAUUGGUUAGUUGGGGGCCCACGUGUCAUUGUAAAAGUAAUUUUAUACUUUAGUUAUUUGAUUUAAA
RNAcentral lists this long non-coding RNA (314 nucleotides) under Theobroma cacao (cacao). RNAcentral describes it as "long non-coding RNA (TCAC_LNC006324)". The record is from RNAcentral. Lineage: Eukaryota; Viridiplantae; Streptophyta; Magnoliopsida; Malvales; Malvaceae.